GACGCAAAGGAGAAGAAAAAGAGAAUAAAUAGAAUGUAAAACAUGAUGAAAAUUCUAUCAAAACUAAUCAUUACGAUUACGAUUCGGAUUACUGACAAGACCCAAUUUUGACCUGAGCGCUAGAGGAGCCUUUUUCAACAUUUUCAUUAAAUCCGGGACAAACUCACUCACGAGCUGUGGAAAAGAAUCCGACCAGUGGACUUGUUUUGACUCAUCAUGCACUCUAUUAUUCAGUCUGCUGCAGGAGGGGGCUGAAGUGAUGCCAAAUCCCGCUUACCAAUACAGGCAAUAUUUGCGUAGCUUGAUUGUUGGAGAAAAAAGCAGCAGAAAAUUUGAACUUGCCUUUCGGCCCUCGGCGAAGC
This 362-nucleotide small RNA is filed under the name Histoplasma capsulatum. RNAcentral's name for it is "hypothetical RNA". Lineage: Eukaryota; Fungi; Ascomycota; Eurotiomycetes; Onygenales; Ajellomycetaceae. The record is from RNAcentral. RNAcentral also lists the same sequence under 1 other name.